Molecule: ribosomal RNA, 253 nt
Filed under: uncultured bacterium
Lineage: Bacteria
Description: partial 16S ribosomal RNA
Rfam family: Bacterial small subunit ribosomal RNA
Source: RNAcentral
UACAGAGGUCUCAAGCGUUGUUCGGAUUCAUUGGGCGUAAAGGGCGCGUAGGCGGCCGUGCAAGUGGAAGGUGAAAUCCCUCGGCUCAACCGAGGAACUGCCUUUCAAACUGCAUGGCUUGAGUCCGGGAGAGGUGAGUGGAAUUCCCAGUGUAGCGGUGAAAUGCGUAGAUAUUGGGAGGAACACCAGUGGCGAAGGCGGCUCACUGGACCGGAACUGACGCUGAGGCGCGAAAGCGUGGGGAGCAAACGGG